RNAcentral lists this ribosomal RNA (497 nucleotides) under uncultured bacterium. RNAcentral describes it as "partial 16S ribosomal RNA". It matches the Rfam family "Bacterial small subunit ribosomal RNA", at positions 28 to 507 of the family's 1533-position model. The record is from RNAcentral.
GACGAACGCUGGCGGCGUGCCUAAUACAUGCAAGUAGAACGCUGAAGAGAGGAGCUUGCUCUUCUUGGAUGAGUUGCGAACGGGUGAGUAACGCGUAGGUAACCUGCCUUGUAGCGGGGGAUAACUAUUGGAAACGAUAGCUAAUACCGCAUAACAAUGGAUGACACAUGUCAUUUAUUUGAAAGGGGCAAUUGCUCCACUACAAGAUGGACCUGCGUUGUAUUAGCUAGUAGGUGAGGUAAUGGCUCACCUAGGCGACGAUACAUAGCCGACCUGAGAGGGUGAUCGGCCACACUGGGACUGAGACCCGGCCCAGACUCCUACGGGAGGCAGCAGUAGGGAAUCUUCGGCAAUGGGGGCAACCCUGACCGAGCAACGCCGCGUGAGUGAAGAAGGUUUUCGGAUCGUAAAGCUCUGUUGUAAGUCAAGAACGGGUGUGAGAGUGGAAAGUUCACACUGUGACGGUAGCUUACCAGAAAGGGACGGCUAACUACGUG